This 27-nucleotide non-coding RNA is filed under the name Mus musculus (house mouse). Lineage: Eukaryota; Metazoa; Chordata; Mammalia; Rodentia; Muridae. The record is from RNAcentral.
CCCGCAGUUAAACAUGUCCUCCGAUCA